Non-coding RNA from Choloepus hoffmanni (Hoffmann's two-fingered sloth), 61 nucleotides. The record is from Rfam. NCBI's taxonomy places the organism in Eukaryota, Metazoa, Chordata, Mammalia, Pilosa, Megalonychidae.
CAUUGAGUAUCUUCAGGAAAAAUGGGUUCCAUAAGAAGUGGCUUCCUCCUUGAAAGGUAAA